ACGGGAGGCAGCAGUGGGGAAUAUUGCACAAUGGGGGAAACCCUGAUGCAGCGACGCCGCGUGAGUGAAGAAGUAUUUCGGUAUGUAAGCUCUAUCAGCAGGGAAGAAAAUGACGGUACCUGACUAAGAAGCUCCGGCUAACUACGUGCCAGCAGCCGCGGUAAUACGUAGGGGGCAAGCGUUAUCCGGAUUUACUGGGUGUAAAGGGAGCGUAGACGGCGAUGCAAGUCUGAUGUGAAAGCCCGGGGCUCAACCCCGGCACUGCAUUGGAAACUGUGUUGCUAGAGUGCAGGAGAGGUAAGUGGAAUUCCUAGUGUAGCGGUGAAAUGCGUAGAUAUUAGGAGGAACACCAGUGGCGAAGGCGGCUUACUGGACUGUAACUGACGUUGAGGCUCGAAAGCGUGGGGAGCAAACAGGAUUAGAUACCCUGGUA
RNAcentral lists this ribosomal RNA (433 nucleotides) under uncultured Lachnospiraceae bacterium. RNAcentral describes it as "partial 16S ribosomal RNA". It matches the Rfam family "Bacterial small subunit ribosomal RNA", at positions 341 to 792 of the family's 1533-position model. Lineage: Bacteria; Bacillati; Bacillota; Clostridia; Lachnospirales; Lachnospiraceae. The record is from RNAcentral.